UAUUUCACUUAGGGCUGUUUUAAUUCCACAUUCUGAGUGUGUAUACAUUCCUAUUUGGCAUAUUUUAGAUUUUUUUCUUUAUUGUCAGUCUGCAAGCUCCUGUGGCAGUAUUAAAACCAGCUUACUAUCAUAAAUUAGCUGUUAAGAAUAACAGAACCUGGCUGACUAAAGUUAUUGUGGGCUAAAGGAGAGCUGGGAUGAAGCAAUGCAGCUCUGUUACUGGUAUUUAAAAAUGAUAAUCAUACGGGCAUUUGGGAAUAAGCAAUUUAACGAUGGUGUCCUAAAGAAUUACUUCAUUAGAAAUCUGUACCAGAUGGGACCUCUCUCAUUGCAAUUGUUUUAAAUUCACCACCAAAUGAAUAAGCACAUGGUACAUGGCAUAAUACACAGACCUGGAAAUACUUUGUUUUUCUGUUUCCAGAUCUGCUACUUGUCUGUUGCAGUGUUUUGCUUUCUUUCCUGCUGGAAAACCAAUGUGCUUGGCAUGCUCUCUGUGCUGCCACUGUCUGAGCUCUGGUGGGGGUCAGGAGCCACAUAUGAAGUGCACUUUAAGCAGGAAUACGUGUACUUGAAAUAUUCUGAACUGGGAUUCUGCUGGUUAAGGACUGAUAGACAGACAUCCAUUUCAAGGAAGAACUUGUGUGGUGGCCACCGUUUCUCUCCAGCACUUCCUAUGGUGUGGGAGUUUCUGAGGGACUUAGAACAACUUCCCUUAAAACCACAUCACGGCCUUUGCAGAAGUCACAUGAUGUUGAUGCUGAUGUAUAUUCACUCCAUUGGACUUCAUCUCUUUUCACAGCCCACUCACGAUAAUUGCAGUAUAUCAAAAAUAAGAAAUUUUUAG
This 844-nucleotide long non-coding RNA is filed under the name Anas platyrhynchos platyrhynchos (common mallard). RNAcentral describes it as "lncRNA (ENSAPLG00000021183.1)". Lineage: Eukaryota; Metazoa; Chordata; Aves; Anseriformes; Anatidae. The record is from RNAcentral.